Molecule: long non-coding RNA, 1070 nt
Filed under: Vigna radiata
Lineage: Eukaryota; Viridiplantae; Streptophyta; Magnoliopsida; Fabales; Fabaceae
Description: long non-coding RNA (VRAD_LNC014434)
Source: RNAcentral
AUAGCUGAAUAUGAUAGAGAACAACUACCUGGUGAUUUAUCCAACUUGUUAAGGAAGGAACGCAUCUGCUCACCAAACAUAGCUGAAUAUGAUAGAGAACAACUACCUGGUGAUUUAUCCAACUUGUUAAGGAAGGAGCGCAUCUGCUGAACCUCAUCCUAAUUAAGUGGAAUUGGUUCGCUGCUGUUUUCUUCAUGUUUUGCAGAACCUAGGUGUGCUUGUCCACCCUUUCUACUGUUGUUGCUUCUUUUUCCCCCUUCCUUUUCACGAUUUUGGGAUCCCUAAUCUCGACUAGGAGGCUUUCCACGUAGCUUCCAACAUUUAUUACGAGUGUGGCGAGGUUUGUUACAGAAGGUACGCCACACUCCUUCUUUUUUCUUUUCCAGAUUUGUGAGUCCCCUCAUUUGGGGAUCAACCAUCUUGGCCGAUCCGAUUGCUACCAUGGCUGAGUUUUCCAUGGUUGGGGUUUCUAGCAUUAUUCCCCUUUCGCGUUCUUCACUUCUUACCAUAACUACCACUUCAUUAAUUCCUGGAACUUUGUCUUUUCCAAAAAUCUGGACUCUCACUUUAUCAAAAUCAAAGUUAACCCCUGUUAGAGAUAUUAUAUUUAGUUUAUAUUGUGUUUAUGUUAAUUAGGGAAAUAAAGUCCCUAUAUGUUUAUUGGGGAAAUAUUGUUCUUAUUUUAUUUUAUUUUAUUCUUACAUAUUCAUUUAUAUUUGGGCUUAGCCCAUAUUUCUUCUAUUAUAAAUAGAGAACCCUAUGUGUGUAUUUAACACAAGGGAUUAAUUUCAAUAUAUAAUUUUCACUAUAUUUAACAUGAUAUCAGAGCAGGUUUUCUGAUCCUUUUCUACUUUGUCUUUGUUGCCGCCGGUGGCCGCCGCCACCGGCGGCCCCCCUAAAAGUUUCUUUUUCAACCUGUGCCUUUAUACUUCAAUGGGCAAUCUCUGGUUUUUGUCUUGCAUCUGUCCGGUGUUGCUGUCCGCCACUGCCCGUUGCCGCUCGCCACCAUCCGGCCGUCGUCUCUAACCACCGUCUCCGGCCGUCGUCUCCGGCCACCGUCUCCGGCAACC